CUCCAGAGGCCCUAACCAGGCCCUCCCUGAGUGGGGAGGUGAGUUCCCAGAGAGCAGGACUCCCCACAUGGGCAAGCUGGGUAGGAGAGGAAUCAAAGAUAUUCCUG
RNAcentral lists this RNase P RNA (107 nucleotides) under Mesocricetus auratus (golden hamster). RNAcentral describes it as "Nuclear RNase P". It matches the Rfam family "Nuclear RNase P", at positions 86 to 192 of the family's 301-position model. From Rfam's summary of the family: Ribonuclease P (RNase P) is a ubiquitous endoribonuclease, found in archaea, bacteria and eukarya as well as chloroplasts and mitochondria. Its best characterised activity is the generation of mature 5'-ends of tRNAs by cleaving the 5'-leader elements of precursor-tRNAs. Cellular RNase Ps are ribonucleoproteins. Lineage: Eukaryota; Metazoa; Chordata; Mammalia; Rodentia; Cricetidae. The record is from Rfam by way of RNAcentral.